GAUCCUGGCUCAGGAUGAACGCUGGCGGCGUGCUUAACACAUGCAAGUCGAGCGAAGCAAUUUAAAUGAGACUUCGGUGGAUUUUAAAUUGACUGAGCGGCGGACGGGUGAGUAACGCGUGGAUAACCUGCCUCACACAGGGGGAUACCAGUUAGAAAUGACUGCUAAUACCGCAUAAGCGCACGGUACCGCAUGGUACAGUGUGAAAAACUCCGGUGGUGUGAGAUGGAUCCGCGU
RNAcentral lists this ribosomal RNA (237 nucleotides) under uncultured bacterium. RNAcentral's name for it is "partial 16S ribosomal RNA". It matches the Rfam family "Bacterial small subunit ribosomal RNA", at positions 15 to 236 of the family's 1533-position model. The record is from RNAcentral.